CACGUAGGAGGCGAGCGUUGUCCGGAAUCAUUGGGCGUAAAGAGCUCGUAGGCGGUCUGUCGCGUCGGAUGUGAAAAUCCAGGGCUCAACCCUGGACCUGCAUUCGAUACGGGCAGACUAGAGUUCGGUAGGGGAGACUGGAAUUCCUGGUGUAGCGGUGAAAUGCGCAGAUAUUAGGAAGAACACCGGUGGCGAAGGCGGCUCUCUGGAACGGUACUGACGCUGAGACGCGAAAGCGUGGGGAGCGAACAGG
This 253-nucleotide ribosomal RNA is filed under the name uncultured bacterium. RNAcentral's name for it is "partial 16S ribosomal RNA". It matches the Rfam family "Bacterial small subunit ribosomal RNA", at positions 524 to 776 of the family's 1533-position model. The record is from RNAcentral.